This 431-nucleotide ribosomal RNA is filed under the name uncultured bacterium. RNAcentral's name for it is "bacterial SSU rRNA". It matches the Rfam family "Bacterial small subunit ribosomal RNA", at positions 917 to 1345 of the family's 1533-position model. The record is from RNAcentral.
GGACCCGCACAAGCAGUGGAGCAUGUGGUUUAAUUCGAAGAUACGCGCAGAACCUUACCAACACUUGACAUGUUCGUCGCGAGACUAAGAGAUUAGUCUUUUCAGUUUGGCUGGACGAAACACAGGUGCUGCAUGGCUGUCGUCAGCUCGUGUCGUGAGAUGUUGGGUUAAGUCCCGCAACGAGCGCAACCCCCUACUUUUAGUUGCCACCAUUUAGUUGGGCACUUUAAAAGAACUGCCAGUGAUAAGCUGGAGGAAGGUGGGGAUGACGUCAAGUCCUCAUGGCCCUUAUGUGUUGGGCUACACACGUGCUACAAUGGUACUUACAAUGGGAAGCAAAGAGGCGACUCCUAGCUAAUCCCUAAAAUGUACCUCAGUUCGGAUUGUACUCUGUAACUCGAGUGCAUGAAGCUGGAAUUGCUAGUAAUCGC